CGCCCGUGACUCGGAGAAAAGUCCAUUGAACCUUAUCAUUUAGAGGAAGGAGAAGUCGUAACAAGGUUUCCGUAGGUGAACCUGCGGAAGGAUCAUUG
RNAcentral lists this ribosomal RNA (98 nucleotides) under Comparettia macroplectron. RNAcentral describes it as "partial 18S ribosomal RNA". It matches the Rfam family "Eukaryotic small subunit ribosomal RNA", at positions 1734 to 1831 of the family's 1831-position model. The record is from RNAcentral. Lineage: Eukaryota; Viridiplantae; Streptophyta; Magnoliopsida; Asparagales; Orchidaceae.